This is a non-coding RNA of Felis catus (domestic cat), 85 nucleotides long. The record is from Rfam. Lineage: Eukaryota; Metazoa; Chordata; Mammalia; Carnivora; Felidae.
GUCUGGGUGGCUCAGUCGGUUAAGCGUCUGACUUCAGCUCAGGUCAUGAUCUCACAGCUCGUGAGUUCGAGCUCUGCCUCAGGCU